RNAcentral lists this ribosomal RNA (760 nucleotides) under Dietzia sp. RNAcentral describes it as "bacterial SSU rRNA". It matches the Rfam family "Bacterial small subunit ribosomal RNA", at positions 88 to 862 of the family's 1533-position model. The record is from RNAcentral. Lineage: Bacteria; Bacillati; Actinomycetota; Actinomycetes; Mycobacteriales; Dietziaceae.
UACACGAGUGGCGAACGGGUGAGUAACACGUGGGUAAUCUGCCCUGCACUUCGGGAUAAGCCUGGGAAACCGGGUCUAAUACCGGAUAUGAACUCCUGCCGCAUGGUGGGGGUUGGAAAGUUUUUCGGUGCAGGAUGAGCCCGCGGCCUAUCAGCUUGUUGGUGGGGUAAUGGCCUACCAAGGCGACGACGGGUAGCCGGCCUGAGAGGGUGAUCGGCCACACUGGGACUGAGACACGGCCCAGACUCCUACGGGAGGCAGCAGUGGGGAAUAUUGCACAAUGGGCGAAAGCCUGAUGCAGCGACGCCGCGUGGGGGAUGACGGUCUUCGGAUUGUAAACCCCUUUCAGUAGGGACGAAGCGCAAGUGACGGUACCUGCAGAAGAAGCACCGGCUAACUACGUGCCAGCAGCCGCGGUAAUACGUAGGGUGCGAGCGUUGUCCGGAAUUACUGGGCGUAAAGAGCUCGUAGGCGGUUUGUCACGUCGUCUGUGAAAUCCCUCGGCUUAACCGGGGGCGUGCAGGCGAUACGGGCAGACUUGAGUACUACAGGGGAGACUGGAAUUCCUGGUGUAGCGGUGAAAUGCGCAGAUAUCAGGAGGAACACCGGUGGCGAAGGCGGGUCUCUGGGUAGUAACUGACGCUGAGGAGCGAAAGCAUGGGUAGCGAACAGGAUUAGAUACCCUGGUAGUCCAUGCCGUAAACGGUGGGCGCUAGGUGUGGGGUCCUUCCACGGACUCCGUGCCGUAGCUAACGCAUUA